This 69-nucleotide transfer RNA is filed under the name Microhyla heymonsi (Taiwan rice frog). RNAcentral's name for it is "tRNA-Val". It matches the Rfam family "tRNA". Rfam says of the family: Transfer RNA (tRNA) molecules are approximately 80 nucleotides in length. The record is from RNAcentral. Lineage: Eukaryota; Metazoa; Chordata; Amphibia; Anura; Microhylidae.
CAAAAUGUAGCUUAAUCAAAGCAUCUCGCUUACACCGAGAACAUAUCUGUGAUACCCGGAUCAUUUUGA